This 7360-nucleotide long non-coding RNA is filed under the name Triticum aestivum (bread wheat). RNAcentral's name for it is "long non-coding RNA (TAES_LNC006824)". Lineage: Eukaryota; Viridiplantae; Streptophyta; Magnoliopsida; Poales; Poaceae. The record is from RNAcentral.
UUAAUAAUACCACUGUGACUAAUUGGUAUUUUGUUUCUUUGAUCUGCAAGUCACUUCUGCUUCAUGCACAAGAUUGCGUUGAUAUACCUUCCAAGACCAAAGAAACCCCAUUAUUCCUUGCAGUGAAAAAUGGUUCUUUGAGCUGUGUACGACUUCUUUUGCGUUAUGGGGCUAACCCCAAAGCCCAGAACCUACGGUGAGUAAUAUUUCUGAAGAAUUCUUGUAUUCAGUGAUUUGAUCGACUUACAGUGACGUGAUUCUUUGGUGUUGAACAGAAAGCAAAGACCAAUAGACGUGGCGACAUCCCAGGACAUGCGGUUCCUUCUCAACUCUGCAAAUGUUGUACCAAGUAAGAUGAUUUUCUGGGAUAUUAAAUAUUUGACUGAGUUCGCAAAUAGAACAUCUCUUGCGUAAAUACAAGCACUUCACUUGUCCUUUUGCGUAUCUCAUGUAAAUAAAAUCACUUCACUUGCCCAUAGUUUUGUGUUUGAUUCUUCAACCAAAGCACAUGUUCUGCUAUAAGAUCACAUUCUGUUAUGUUCUAUUGUUUGAUCUGUUUCAUUACACUGGAAGAAUUUAUUUUUUUGCAAAUAACACUGGAAGGAAUUUUAUUAUUUGAAUUACAUAAAGAUCGGUUAGAUACUUUUGGUUUUACUGAUAAUAAUGCAUAUGAAGCCAACUGCAUUUUCAACUGAAUUUUGCUCCUUUUUAGUGAACCAUGGCUCAAUGGAAAAGAACCAUGCGAUGAAAAAAGAUAGGCACAAAGAGCUUCUGGAUGAUGAUUUCGAUGAUUAUGACAAUGACGAUUAUUAUGAAAGGUAUUUCUUAUAUCUGUACACAAUUACGUGAAAUGUAGAGAAAGUGCUGCUCAUUUGAAGUUAAAAUUAAGAUAUUGCUUUGAAUAUCCCUGCAGCUAUGUUGUGCCAAAGGCGUCAGUAGGUCACCGGGAUUUUCGGGUUAAAAGUAAGGGCCAUAGUGCCCCGAAAGAAGGUCCCAAAUUAUCUCGGGUAAUCUAAGCAUCCUCUAUCUCUGUAUUACCAAGUGACUUUUUUGUUUACAUGAUCUGCUUACAACAUAUUUUAUUUAUAGCAUAAUGAUCAUUGGGAGAAGCAUGACUACACUCGCAAAAUCUUUGUUGGGGGUCUCCCGCUUUCAGUAGACGAUGGUAUAGCUUCAUAAUCCUGAACCAGUUAUGUUCAACACAGUGAACAUGAAUGUACUUCUAACACUUUCUUUGGCAUUCGUUUCUUGCAGCGUACCUUAGCAAAUUCUUCAGUACUGAAUUCGGACCUGUGGAGGAAGCAAUAGUCAUUACCUUAAAAAUAGACGAGAGGAUACAGUCCCGAGGCUUUGGCUUUGUCAAAUUCAAAAGAGAGAAGGACAUGAUUAGUGCAAAGGAAGCUCAUCAUGUCUAUGUGCUUGGGAAGAGAGUGGAGAUAAAGGAUGCUGUUGCUAGACCGUCCCUGCCUGAACUCGAAAGAGCAACUUCCUUCAGGCACCAUGUACGUGAGUCCCCAAGAGUGACUCAUAGUGAGCUGGAGGAUGAACAACCUGAGCAAUAUAACUUUGGGAAACGGCGGCCAAUGCCAGAGAAGCACCUCCCAUCUUGGUUCUUCAUAUUCAGGAGGUGGUUGCCAGGAUUUCUCAUGGAAGCAACCGAACGAUAUGGGGAGAAGUACCCAUUAUGCUCUGUGAAGACUGAUUUCAGAUCAUGUUGCAGAAUGGAGCUUGAUCAUUCUGCCCUUGGCUAUCCUAAGCUAAGUGAUUUCAUGCGCUCCCUCCCUGGCAUCUGCAGGAUGCGUGUAGUCCCUGUAGGAAAUGGCCCUGCAACACAUAUGGUCCUUCUGCCACCGCUCUCAAGGCCAAAGUAUGUACCCUUGCUAGAGCCUUACUCAUUUGAUCAUGAAGAGCUCCCAGAAUCAGUGUCAGAUCAUCAUUCUCCAAGAUCACCACUUACCGCCAAUAUCACUGAGAAUGCUCCUUAUAGCACUAACAGUCCACAUGGUGAUGCAUGCAGCGAGAGCAAUGUCCAGAGCCAGCAUGAUGAUGAGUGCAGCAGAAGCAAUGGCGAAAGCCUGCCGGAUGGUGAUUCCACCUCCAAUGGUAGCUUACUUGAUGAGAUUACUGUGAGCACACCAAAGUCUGAUUUGAUCCAGUCACCUGCAAGAAAGCCUGAUUUGAUUGUGUCUGGAUCUCCUCCAGAAAAAAUCGAACAAGGACCGUUAAUGAAGCCUGAUUUGGUUGAGUCUGCACCUACAAAGAAACUCGAUUUGAUCGAGUCCAGUCCUCCUCCUCCUCCUCCUCCUAGCAAGGCUGAUUUGGUUCAGCCUGCUGGGCCUGCACGGAAGAUUCAACUGGUCGAGUCCAGACCUUCUAGGAAUUCUGAACUGAUUGAGCCUGAACCUGCAAGGAAGCUUGAAUUGAAUCAAGCCAGACCAACAACAUGCUUUGUUGAUCGUCCUGUUGAAAGGCCAGCAGUCACUCCAAGCAGCUGCCACAAUGAAAUGAGAUUCUCCUUCUUCCACUCACAGUGGGACAAGUACCUAGUAAGUGCCCCCUUCUUCUGUGUUGCAUUUGCUUGCCACGUUAGUUAGGCUCAGAAUCAUGUCUUAACUAAUACACUUCUUUUCACCUGUACUCCUGUAGACUCCACAUGCCAAGAGUGACUACUGCAUCAUAUGCCGCUCCUGUGAAGCCGCGAUGGAGCUUGUCCCCUGCCUCCAUAAGAUAUGUGUUGCCUGCAUGAUGAGGUGCAAUGUCAGGGCAUGCAUGACCUGUGGCACUGCUGUAAGUGGAGUCAAGUCUGCCCCGGCACUGGACGCAAAAUCCCGACACGUGGUAACAAAAUUUCUCCUCUGUUCUACUUUCACUACAUCUGAAUUCAAUUUUGCCUGAUGAUUAAUUGCUGAACACGCAGGGAGUCAUGGAGUGCGUCUCAGAUCAAAAGUGCCAGUUGAUGGUUGUCUGCAGUGGAGCUGAUGCAGUUGUGAGAUGCUCCCCCUGCAUGCACACCAUAGCUUGCCGAGGCUGCCUCCUGGCCUCGGUGACACUGCUCAAGAAGUGCACUGUUUGUGACUGCAUGAUUGAGCACUUCAAGUUUGGUCCAUAAGGUUUAGCUCCCUAAUACCGAAGACUGAUCUAGUAAUACAUAGAAUAAGGCAGGCAAUCCCACAGACUGAAGGAGACAUUGAUCCCAUCUCCUUCGAUGUUCUGAGCUUGUGGGAUGAUGAGCCUAAAUGGGCCAUGUUUAGAGGAGUGCCCUUUGCAGCUCCCUUAUGUUUUUUUUUUUUUUGCGUAGGAAUGCCUUUUCCUAGAUGCUUGAUGGUCAUGGUUCUGUAAGCUUUGCGACGGGGGGCAUGUCCCCUUCGAUUUUCGGCAAGCUUACAGCAUCGGUACCAUGUGAAGCCCCCCUUUGUUAUCUGUUAUCGUGCUCUUUCACUGAACCUAUGUAUUAGUACUAUCUAAGUAAGAUGGAACCUUUUCAGUUAUAUCUCUUGGUGAGCAGUUCUGGAGUUUGUGAUUUGCAGCUUUCUGAUAUGCCUGGUGCUUGCUUCUCUUUUGUAUGGGUUGGUUGAAUUUAACCGAAAGUUAUCUAUUGUUGGAUGAUCUGCUGUAUGUUGCAUUUCCAGCGUGUAAUUGGCAAGUUGCAGUUGUUUAGCUGAAAUUUGGAGUUACUAUUGUUCUGUUCAAUUCAUGGGUUAAGUUUCACUGCUGCUGGAGCUGCGAUAAUGAUACUUCAGGGUAGAUUCUCUGACUUUCAGUUCUCUCAGAAUUGUUUUGAAUGGUUGAAUAAGUGCAAAGCAUGUGCUAUCUUGGGUCUCAGCCAGCUAAAACUUAUCUUUGCUUGACUGUAUUGCUUACAAUAGAUAAUCUAAGGGUGCAGCAGUAUGUUGUAUUUGAAAUGGAAACUUAUAGUGUGAAGAUGGUUUGAUCUGCAGAACAUUCUUCUGUUUGUUUCCUUGGUUGUUUAGUAAUAGGUCGCGGAUUGCAGGUCGGCCAGUUAGAAAUUGCUUGAAUGGGUCAAGAAGGAAAUAUUUUUGGAUCUACAUUCUUCGGUAGAGAUGUUUGAAUUCGCAUUCUAUCUCCACAAAUAAAUUUGCAGUUCAGAUCUUUGACUACACUAAGUAAAAAGAUUUCUCACCAUACGGUGAACAAGCGGCGAUGGUGUCGGAGGUCAUCCUGAGACAACAACAGCGAGCGCCUCCAUCGAACACCCACUUGCUGCCGUGCCUCAAAGUCCAUUUCUUCUCUUUUGUAUGGGUUGGUUGAAUUCAACCAAACUCAUCUGCUGUUGGAUGAUCUGUUGUAUGUUGCAUUUCCAGCAUGUAAUUAGCAAGUUGCUGUUGUUUAGCUGAAAUUUGGAGUUAUCAUUCUGUUUGGUUCAUGGGUAGUUUCACCAUUGGUCGAUUUGAAUCAUUUGAUGAUAAUCCUUCAGGCUGGAUUCUUUGAUUUUUCACUUCCCUCGGAACCGUUUUGAGUGAUUGAACCAUUUUCAGUUCUGUUUUGACAUGGAAACUUACGAGGUGAAGAUGAUUUGAUCUGCAGAAUAGUCUUCUGUUUGUUUUCUUUUUUUUUCUCGAAUAUGCACGAGUGUGCAUAUCAUAUAUUAAAGAAGAAGGGCAAAAGAAAUGCCUCCACCAUUAGUUACAUGAGUUACAAAAUACUUCACUCCUCACGCCUAGCCCACCUCGCUAACCUACUAAGGAAGGGUGCUACAUCCUCUUUUAGUAGGCCGGCUGACACCCAAAUUUGACCCUCUAGUCUAAUUCUACCAAGAAGCACCUCACAUGACGGCCUUGCUCCGUCGAAUACAAUUGCAUUCCUAUGUUUCCAAAGCUCCCACAAGGUCAGCCCAAGAAUGGUUCGCAAAUCUUUAGUACUGGCUUUGUUGGUCCCAGACUUGUGACACAACCAUGACGUGAGAGAGUCGUGCUCCGAAGGCACCCACUCCGGCUUUCCCAAGGCGUGACAGAUCUCCGCCCAUACCACCCUGGCAAAAACACAUGUAAGCAAGAUGUGAUUGAUCGACUCCUCCUCCUGGUCACAAAAGGGGCAUGCAUCUUGGUGCGGUAGCCCUCGCCGUGCCAGACGAUCCGACGUCCAGCAUCUAUUCAGUAGGGCCAGCCAUAUGAAGAACUUGCAUUGUGAGGGCGCCCUCGAUUUCCAAAUGAGAUCCGCUGCUGGUGCCACUUCUGUCGCCCAAAAUUUUGCCGCAUAGGCCGACCGAACCGUAAACUGCCCAGAAUCCUCCCAAGACCACGAGAACUCGUCUUGCACUCCUGCCGUAGGCUCCCAAGUGAUCACUUCAUUCCAAAGCGAGAGGAACUCCUGCAAAGCCUCCAUAGCUAGGUUCAGGCCCACAUCUUGGGCCCAAGCUCCAUCCGCCAUGGCCUCUCCAACCGUCCGCUUGGAGCGAACCCGCCCCGGGAUCAUGUUGUAUAUCAAAGGAGCGAUCUCCUGGGCCCUUCGGCCAUUCAACCAGCAAUCCUCCCAGAACAAUGCCAAAUGACCAUCCCCUGCGGUACAUUGUGUAGCUGCUUUGAAGAGUAGCAGGGAUUCUUUGGGGACCUUGAUGUUAAACUCCUCCCAAGGCCUGGUAUUGUCCGUCCUCUUAAGCCAUGGCCACCUCGCUUGCAUUGCCACGUUCAACCAGCGCAAGUUGGGUAGGACAAGACCACCAGCCCACUUCGGGGUGCACACUGUCUCCCACGCGACCGCACAGUUUCCACCAUUCGCCUCCUUACUUUUACACCACAAAAAAACCUACAGAUCUUGUUCAUAGCUGCGAUUGUCUUCAUGGGCAGAUCUAAGGCCAUCAUUGCAUGCAAAGGCAUGGCGCAGAGCACGGAUUGCACCAAGGUCAGCCUCCCACUCUUCGGCGUCAAGCCCGCUUUCCACUUGGGCAGCUUGUUGGCCAUCUGGUCCACGAGGUAUUGUAGUUGGGCCGGGGUUUGCUUCCGAAGUGACAAGGGUAGCCCAAGGUAUUUGAUAGGAAACGAUCCCAAAGGGCACCCUAGCAUCGUGCAUACCAUGUUCAUUUCCUCCUCGGUGCAUCUAAUCGGCAGAGCGGCUGAUUUGUGCAUGUUGAUCCGUAAACCUGACGCUUCUCCAAAGACUUCAAAGAUGCACUGGCAAACGGCAAGAUCCAUCGGCAAGGGCUUCACAGAAAGUGCCACAUCGUCCGCGAAAAUGGACAACCUCUUCCUCAUACUUGUCUGUGCUAGAGGCGCAAGGACUCGCCUGUCCACGGCAAGCUCAAACAGUCGCUGCAGGGGCUCCAUCGUUAGAAUGAAUAACAUGGGCGAGAUGGGAUCGCCUUGCCGCAAACCCUUGCAGUUGAAAAUUGUAUCGCCGGGCUCCCCAUUGACCAUGAUCUUGGUAGAUGAAGUAGCAAGGAUGCCACAAAUCCAUGAUCGCCACCGCGGCCCGAAGCCCAAGUGUUGCAUGAUCUCAAGGAGGAAAGACCACCUCACCGAAUCAAAGGCCUUUGAUAUAUCAAGCUUUAGUAGGACCGAAGGGUUUCUUAGCGCAUUAAGUCGACGAGCCGUGCACUGCACCAACAUAAAGUUGGCAUGCAAGGAUCUUCCUUUCACAAAAGCACUUUGAUGGUUGCCAACCAACCUUGGUAAAUCCACCACAAGCCUACACGCCAGAACUUUUUCAAAGAUUUUUAUGGCCCCAUGCACCAGGUUGAUAGGCCUAAAGUCACUAACAUCCAAGGCUCCUUCCUUCUUUGGUAGUAAUGUGACAAGGGUUUUAUUGAUAGCCGUCAUGCCCCUCACGUUCCCGUUGUAGAAGCAACACAAGGCAGCCAUGAAGUCAGCCUUAAUGAUGCUCCAACAAGUAGCAUAAAACCUGCCUGUGAACCCAUCCGGCCCCGGGGCUUUGUCCGGGGGCAUAGCCUUGAUUACUCCUUCCACUUCUUCCAUGGUGAACGGCUGCUCUAGGUGUGAGAGGUCAAGCGUUGGCAGGUUUAAGGCUGCCAAAUUGAUGGUGUGCUCCCUCGGGGUCAACGUACCGAAAGCCGCAUCAUAAUAAGCAUCCACUGCCAAAGCCACCUCCUCCUGCCCCGUGUAGAUUUGGCCAUUAUACUACGCAGCUUGUUUGUUUUCUUUGGUUUAUUAUAAAUCAUGGCGUCUUUCACUACUUCUUUCAGAAUUGGGCCGCGGAUUACUGAUCGGCUUGUUAGAAAUUGCUUGAAUAGAUCAAUAAGGAAAUGUCUUUGGAUCUACAUUCUUUUCUAGGGAUGUUUGAAUUCGCAUCGUAUCUACAUGAAUAAAUCUGUACUACUACUACGCACUAGAUUUCUCACCGUUCAGGCAGCACACGCGCGGCGGUGGCGUCGGGAGUCUGUCCUGAG